This 4271-nucleotide ribosomal RNA is filed under the name Candidatus Azambacteria bacterium. RNAcentral describes it as "23S ribosomal RNA". The stretch from base 1 to 3245 matches the Rfam family "Bacterial large subunit ribosomal RNA". Lineage: Bacteria; Candidatus Azamiibacteriota. The record is from RNAcentral.
GCGGGAAACAAGAGUAUAUGGUGGAUGCCUAGACAUAAAGAAGCGAUGAAGGACGUGGCGUGACUGCGAUAAGCUCCGGGGAGGCGUCAAGCUACCUGUGAUCCGGAGAUUUCCGAAUGGGGCAACCCAUCCCGAUAAACUCGGGAUAUCUUUGCGCAAGCAAAGAAGUGCACCCGCUGAAGUGAAACAUCUCAGUAAGCGGAGGAAAAGAAAAAAAUUUCGAAGCAAUAUUUUCAGUAUGCAGUGCGCGCACGCGCGCUGUCCGCUGGGAAUAUCGCUUCGUCCAUUCCCUUAGUAGCGGCGAGCGAAAAGGGAACAGCCUAAACUUAAGUGCUCAGUAAUUUAUUACGAGGCGUUUGAGGGUUGCAGGGCAUACGUGCUUUUGCCGCAAGGCGAAACAGAGCAAAAAGUUUUUAGUAGUUAAUUAAAUUCUCAUGGAAAGGAGAGCCACAGAGGGUGAUAGCCCCGUCAAUGAAAAUUAUUAAAACGCUUUGAACGUGUGUUCCUAAGUAGUGCGGGGAACGAAAACCCCGUAUGAAUCCGGGAGAACUACUCUCCCAAGGCUAAAUAUUCUUUAUGAUCGAUAGUGAACAAGUACCGUGAGGGAAAGGUGAAAAGAACCCCGAUGAGGGGAGUGAAAUAGAACUGAAACCAUAUACUUACAAGGAGUCGGAGCCCGAAAUUUAUUUCGGGUGACGGCGUGCCUCUUGGAGAAUGAACCAACGACUUUAUGUAUACUGCUCGUCUAACCUUGUAUGAGGGAAGGCAAAGGGAAACCGAGUCUGAAUAGGGCGUUUUGCGCUUCUCUAUCGCUCGCGCUAAGCCGCAAGGCUUCGCGCACGGCGAUAGCGGAGUGCGCUGCAGUAUGCAUAAGACCCGAAACCAGAGCGAGCUUACCAUGACCAGGGUGAACCUCGGGUAACACCGAGGGGAGGCCCGAACCGGUAGGUCGUACAACUCCUUCGGAUGAGUUGUGGUAAGAAGUGAAAAGCUUAUCGAGCCUGGAAAUAGCUGGUUCUCCCCGAAAUAGCUCUAGGACUAGCCUCAAGCGUUUAUGAAUGGAGGUAGAGCACUGGAUGAGUUUGAAUGGCGCAAGCUGUCAAACCCAAUCAAACUCCGAAUUCCGUUCAACAUAGCUUGGGAGUAAGACUGUGGGGGCAAAGCUCCAUAGUCAAAAGGAGAAGAAUCCUGACCGCCGAUUAAGGUCCCCAAAUGUAAACUAAGUGAAAAAAGGAGGUGAGAUUUCGUAGACAGCUAGGAGGUUGGCUUAGAAGCAGCCACCCUUUAAAGAGUGCGUAACAGCUCACUAGUUUAGAGAUCUUGCGCCGAAAAUAUAACGGGGCUAAGUUUACUACCGAAAUCGCGGAUGCCGUUGCAUUUAUGCGGCGGCGUGGUAGGGGAGCGUUUCCAUCUGCUGUGAAGGUGAAGCGUGAGCUUUGCUGGAGCGUUGGGAAGUGCGAAUGUUGGUAUAAGUAACCGCAAUACCGGUGAAAGCCCGGUACACCGAAAGCCCGAGGUUUCCUUGGCAAUGACAAUCAGCCAAGGGUUAGUCGCACCUAAGGUGAUGCAGAGAUGCGUAACCGAUGGACAGCAGGUUAAUAUUCCUGCACCGCGUACAUGAUCGACGGAGUGACGCUAUAGAGUACACUGAUCGUAUUAUUGGAUUUACGUUCUUUGUCCGACGAAGUCUGCCAGGCAAAUCCGGCAGAUCCCUUCAAUGGGACUUCAGAGGGAUCGAGAAAAUGUUCGUAGCAAUACGGAUAAAUUCAGUGGAGCCUGUGGUCGAGAAAACCUUCUAAGAUUAUCGUGUGCGCGCGCGUACCGCAAAACCGACGCAGGUGGGCAGGUCGAGUAGACCAAGGUGAACGAGUGAGGGGUCGUUAAGGAACUCGGCAAAAAAGCAGCCGUAAGUUCGCAAUAAGGCUUGCCCCGCCCCAAUUUUGCUUCUGAAAAGUGUGCGCAGUGCGCCUGCCGAAUAGGCAGAUUCUGCUAUGGGCGAAGCGCUGCGCCCUAAAACGGAGUGCAGCUAUUCGCUGCUCGCACUUCGCAGUGUUAUUGGGAGGCAAAAUUGGGGCGGGGCCGCAGCUAAAGUAUCUCUGGCGACUGUUUAUCAAAAACACAGCUCUCUGCUAACUCGCAAGAGGAUGUAUAGAGGGUGACACUUGUCCGGUGCUGGAACGUUAACGGUGGAUGUCGAUGGUGUAGCAAUACAGUGUUGGCUAUCGCCCGAAGCGCCAGUGAACGACAGCGAUAACUAUAAUCGUUCUAAGGUAGCGAAAUUCCUUGUCAGGUAAGUUCUGACGCGCACGAAUAGUGUAACGACUGGAGAACUGUCUCAACGACUCGCUCGGUGAAAUUACAAUGAGGGUGAAGAUGCCCUCUUCCUGCAGUUAGACGAAAAGACCCCGGGAGCUUUACUGUCUCUUGUUAUUGUGAUGCGAUUUCUCAUGCGUAGCGUAGGCGGUAGACUUUGAAGUCUCGUUUUCGGACGGGAUGGAGUCGCCAAUGAAACACCGCUCUUGAGUGAUUGCAUUACUAACUUGUCGCGCCAAACGCGAUGAGGACAGUGGCUGGUGGACAGUUUUAGUGGGGCGCUAGCCUCCUAAAAGGUAACGGAGGCGUUUAAAGGUCAGCUAGGUCCGGAUGGAAAUCGGACUGAUAGUGUAAAGGCAUAAGCUGGCUUUACUGCAAGACGGACAUGUCGCGCAGUCGCGAAAGCGGAACUUAGUGAACCGACGCUACAUCGUAGGAUGGGCGAAGAUCAUCGGAUAAAAGCUACCCCGGGGAUAACAGGCUAGUCUUGCCCAAGAGUUCAUAUCGACGGCAAGGUUCGGCACCUCGAUGUCGGCUCGUCGCAUCCUGGGGGUGAAGAAGCUCCCAAGGGUUUGGCUGUUCGCCAAUUAAAGCGGCACGUGAGCUGGGUUCAAACCGUUCAGGUCGUGAUCACGGAUCAUGGGUUGAACCGUUUGAACCCGAGGUUAAGACAUUGUUCGCGGCGGCGCUCAUCAGUAAUGGUGAGUGAGAAGUUGACUCAUAUCGGUGGAACCCUGAUUAAAAUUUAGGGCAAUACCGAGGGAAAUUCCUUUCUAAUGGAAUACCCGUAGAGACUACACGUCAACUACCCUGAGCUUGUCGAAGGGUAAUGGUAUAGUCCAAUCCACGUAGUAAUACGUGACGUAGAUGCGUGAGACAGGUUGGUCUCCUAUCUACUGUAGGCGCAGAGACUUGAGGGGAGUUCUCUCUAGUAAGAAAUUGCUACUUCUUCGAGUAAUCGAAGUUGAAAAUUUGGCUAAUAACGGUGAAGUCUUCAUGCAUUGCGUGGUCCGUGGAUUAUGACAAUUGGCGCGGUCCGCCGGUUGAUGUAUAAUUACUUGAGGACCAGAUAAUUCUUAAGAUAAUACCGUGGGAAGUCGAUCUAAAACGCACUUAGCGUAUAUCGCCGGUUUUCUUGAUGGAGAUGGAAGUUUAAUGCUUCAGCUCAAAAAGAGAAAAGAUGGAAAUGUCGGAAUUCGUUUCAUGGCAACCAUCUGUUUCUAUCAAGAUUCGCGGCAUGACGAAACUUUAUUUUGGAUUCGUGAUAUUUUAGGUAUCGGUUAUCUUGCAAAAAGAAAUGAUGGUAUUUCCGAAUUGCGGAUAAACGGAUAUAAGCAAGCGAGGCGCAUCCUCGAUUGCUUGUCGCCUUAUAUACGAUUCAAGAAAGUUCAGGCUAAGGCUUUGCUUGAGGCUUGCGUAAUAUUGUGUGAAAGAACAAUUACAAAGCUGACCAAGCGACAACUACAAAAGCUUGUCGAUCUCAUGUUGGUGAUUCAGAAUCAAAACUAUGUCACCAAAAAGAAGAAGAGUCGAAGCGAGCUUUUGAAAGUUUUGGAUUUGACCCCGUAACGACUUGUUUCCCCGCGGUGAUCGGGGAACGGACUUAUAGAAAUCGGAAAGCUCAAAAAGCAGGUUUCUAUGGGUAAUACGCCGACUCCUCCUUCGUAAUAAAACGUUGGAGGAUGAAGAUAUAGUCUACACUCCUAGAAAUAGGGGAAUACGUGACGAGAGGACCGAGAGGAACAGACCGCUGGUGUGCCAGCUGUCCCGCCAGGGGCAUUGCUGGGUAGCUACGUCUGGAAGUGAUAAGAGCUGAAAGCAUCUAAGCUCGAAGCACACCCUAAGAUGAGGUCUCAUUGGGAGUAAUCCCAGAAGGAUCGUGGAAGAUGACCACGUUGAUAGGUUGCAGCUGUACGCGCGGUAACGCGCUCAGGCGAGCAAUACUAAUUAUCCGAUUC